GCAGUUAUGGCGGAAUUGGCAGACGCGCAGGAUUUAGGUUCCUGUAUCGCAAGAUGUGUGGGUUCAAGUCCCACUAACUGCA
RNAcentral lists this transfer RNA (82 nucleotides) under Lachnospiraceae bacterium. Its description in RNAcentral is "tRNA-Leu". It matches the Rfam family "tRNA". From Rfam's summary of the family: Transfer RNA (tRNA) molecules are approximately 80 nucleotides in length. Their secondary structure includes four short double-helical elements and three loops (D, anti-codon, and T loops). The record is from RNAcentral. Lineage: Bacteria; Bacillati; Bacillota; Clostridia; Lachnospirales; Lachnospiraceae.